GGGGGCCCUGGAUAUUAUAAGGGUCUAGCCUGCCCAAUGAUUAAAAAUUGAAUGGCCGCGGUAUUUUAACUGUGCUAAGGUAGCAUAAUCAUUUGUCUUUUAAUUAAAGGCUGGAAUGAAUGGUUGGACGAAGUAAUAACUUUCUUUAAAUUAAUUGAUUGAAUUUAAUUUUUUAGUCAAAAAGCUAAAAUGUGUUUGAGGGACGAGAAGACCCUAUAGAUCUUUAUAAUUGAUUAUAUUGUAUAUUUUGGUGAAUUAAUUAUUAUUAAUAUAAUUAAUUAUUUGGUUGGGGCGACUGUAGAAUUUAUUUAACUUCUAUUAUUAUCUUUCAAUAAUUUUUGUAUAAUUGAUCCAUUUAUUAUGAUUAUAGGAUUAAGUUACCUUAGGGAUAACAGCGUAAUUUCUUUGGAGAGCUCCUAUCGAUAAAGAAGUUUGCGACCUCGAUGUUGGAUUAAAAUAAGUAGUGGGUGCAGUAGUUCAUUUACUAGGUCUGUUCGACCUUUAAUUUUUUACGUGAUCUGAGUUCAGACCGG
Molecule: ribosomal RNA, 533 nt
Filed under: Rhynocoris marginatus
Lineage: Eukaryota; Metazoa; Arthropoda; Insecta; Hemiptera; Reduviidae
Description: partial 16S ribosomal RNA
Rfam family: Bacterial large subunit ribosomal RNA
Source: RNAcentral